Phalacrocorax carbo (great cormorant) is the source of this 602-nucleotide non-coding RNA. The record is from RefSeq and is a predicted model, not a curated record. NCBI's taxonomy places the organism in Eukaryota, Metazoa, Chordata, Aves, Suliformes, Phalacrocoracidae.
AGCAGAGCAACCACCGCCACAGCAAUGGGGACAUCAGCAGCAAUGGGUCACACAGCUUCCCUUGCAACGAGGCAGAUGGUUUGUGUAUUUCUAGCGUGCCCGUCUCCAGCAGCAGGGAGAGGUGGAUCUUCUUGAACAUUGCGGUAACCAGCGUCCACAGCACGGGCUGUGACAGGGCUCCAGCACAACCCUGCCGGCCUCUCCAGCGGAGCCCUCCGCAGCCCCCGGUGUGGAGCCAGCAAACCUCCAGGGUACAGCCGAGUGCUUCCAGCACCUAUGAGACUUCCCAAGAACCAAAAUCAGGCUUCUACCCUGGCUUAGUCUAAAAGGGCCACCAUCUUAACGCUGUAUGGAAUAUUUCUAUGACUCACUAUAAAUCACACCAUUGUCAUCUAGACUGGGAUGAGAACAAUAAAAAAAGUGGAUUUGAAUAAUGCCCUUUGCACCCCUGCGAGAGCAGAAGCAGUGCUAGAACAACGACUGCAAAGGUCAAUGGCAAAGACUCAAACAAUGCAGGAAAUCCCAUCGCCCGCAGUUGCCAAAGUACGUGCUGGCAGCAUGUGAAACAGUCUGAACUCUGAACAAUAAAGAAGUGUGAUAAU